Molecule: ribosomal RNA, 378 nt
Filed under: uncultured bacterium
Lineage: Bacteria
Description: partial 16S ribosomal RNA
Rfam family: Bacterial small subunit ribosomal RNA
Source: RNAcentral
CCUACGGGUGGCAGCAGUAGGGAAUCUUGCACAAUGGAGGAAACCCUGAAGCAGCAACGCCGCGUGGAGGAUGAAGGUUUUCGGAUUGUAAACUCCUUUUGUUAGAGAAGAUAAUGACGGUAUCUAACGAGUAAGCACCUGCUAACUCCGUGCCAGCAGCCGCGGUAAUACGGAGGGUGCAAGCGUUCCUCGGAAUCAAUGGGCGUAAAGAGCGCGGAGGCGGGAUAGCAAGUCAGAUGUGAAGGCCUAUGGCUUAACCAUAGAACUGCAUUUGAAACUGUUAUUCUAGAGUACGGGAGAGGUAGGUGGAAUUCGUGGUGUAGGGGUAAAAUACGUAGAGAUCAAGAGGAAUACGCAUUGCGAAGGCGACCUGCUAGA